Molecule: long non-coding RNA, 378 nt
Organism: Myotis davidii
Lineage: Eukaryota; Metazoa; Chordata; Mammalia; Chiroptera; Vespertilionidae
Exons: 2
Source: RefSeq, a predicted model, not a curated record
GUGAAGGACUGAGGCAUGGAAAGGUUACAGAAUGUUACAGAAUGUGCUAAGGGGAGGAAAUGGGACAUGAGAAAUUGAAUGUUCUGGGAGGGGGGACUGACGUAUAGAGGAUUGUGUCAAGGUUAGGAACCAUGGAAGAAAAAUUGCUAGAUUGUCUUAGGAAAACAAUGUGUUAUGAUACGCUCCAGCCAGGUGUGACUCUGUUUACCCCCCCUUUGUGCUUAUGAACUUUCUAUGAACUUCUAAGGUAACACUGUUGUGCUCUAAAGGAUCAUACUGCACCCUUGAUCUCUGCCACAUGCUCCGAAUCUCCCAGAGAGGGAGAUAGGUGUGGUGGCCAGCUGGCCAGCUUAAUAAAGGCUCUUAAAUUUAAAUUCU